RNAcentral lists this transfer RNA (73 nucleotides) under Ictidomys tridecemlineatus (thirteen-lined ground squirrel). RNAcentral describes it as "Spermophilus tridecemlineatus (thirteen-lined ground squirrel) tRNA". It matches the Rfam family "tRNA". From Rfam's summary of the family: Transfer RNA (tRNA) molecules are approximately 80 nucleotides in length. Their secondary structure includes four short double-helical elements and three loops (D, anti-codon, and T loops). Lineage: Eukaryota; Metazoa; Chordata; Mammalia; Rodentia; Sciuridae. The record is from Rfam by way of RNAcentral.
GGGGAUAUAACUCAGUUGGUAGAGUGCUUGCUUAGCAUGCACAAGAUCCUGGGUUCAAUCCCCAGCAUCACCA